UCGUUAUUUCCUGCAGCAGCUACCUCUCCGCGACUCUCGCCCCUGCCUGCCCGAGACAGCACAGUAGUGGUGUGGUCGCGCUGAACGCACGUUAACGGAAAGAAAAAAACACUCCAUACCCAGUGAAGGCCUCCGCCACACCGAAAACCCUCUUUCAGUCACAGCGACGACGGAUAUAUAAACACACACGUAUUUUUUUCCUAAACUUAGCUGCUGUUUUUUUUUUUAUUUGAUAGCUUUGUUAAAAAAAAAAAAAAAAACACCCACUAAAAAACAAAAAGCAAGUGUUCAUAAUGGCGACAGCUGCGGUGUCUGCCCCUGCUGGCUGCGGCCCCAGCCCCGGGUCGGGAACGGAGUUGGUCCGCGGGCAGGCCUUCGAUGUCGGGCCCCGGUACAGCAACCUCUCCUACAUCGGGGAAGGAGCCUACGGGAUGGUGUGCUCUGCCUAUGACCGGGACAACAAGAUACGUGUGGCCAUUAAGAAGAUCAGCCCUUUUGAGCACCAGACGUACUGCCAACGCACCCUGAGAGAGAUCAAAAUCCUUCUGCGCUUCAAACAUGAGAACAUCAUUGGAAUCAACGACAUCAUCCGCACACCAACCAUUGACCAGAUGAAGGACGUAUAUAUUGUCCAGGAUCUCAUGGAGACAGACCUGUACAAGCUCCUGAAGACUCAACACCUGAGCAACGACCACAUCUGCUACUUCCUUUACCAGAUCCUACGAGGGCUCAAGUACAUCCACUCUGCCAACGUCCUGCACCGCGACCUGAAGCCUUCCAACCUUCUGCUCAACACCACGUGUGAUCUCAAGAUCUGUGAUUUUGGUUUGGCCCGUGUGGCUGAUCCUGACCACGAUCACACUGGUUUCCUAACAGAAUACGUAGCCACUCGUUGGUACCGAGCACCCGAGAUCAUGCUCAACUCCAAGGGCUAUACUAAGUCCAUAGACAUCUGGUCAGUGGGUUGCAUCCUGGCUGAGAUGUUGUCCAACAGGCCAAUCUUUCCUGGGAAGCACUACUUGGAUCAGCUUAACCACAUUUUGGGGAUCCUGGGUUCUCCCUCUCAGGAGGAUCUCAACUGCAUCAUCAACAUUAAGGCUAGGAACUAUCUUUUGUCGCUGCCUUUGCGCUGCAAAGUGCCGUGGAACCGCCUCUUCCCCAACGCUGAUCCGAAAGCUCUGGACCUGUUGGACAAGAUGUUGACCUUUAACCCUCACAAGAGGAUUGAGGUGGAGGAGGCCCUGGCGCACCCCUACCUGGAGCAAUAUUACGACCCCACAGAUGAGCCUGUUGCUGAGGCCCCAUUCAAGUUUGACAUGGAGCUGGAUGACCUACCCAAAGAGACACUGAAGGAGCUCAUCUUUGAAGAAACUGCACGUUUCCAGCCCGGCUUUAGGUCCUAACAUCUCACACAGCUGACUAUUGGAACCCAACCCUAUUGAAAUCACUAUUGGUAUUAUAUCAACCAAUGAUGAUUCUGUGGACUGCCUUCUGCGUUGCCACUGCUCCUCCCCGCCUCCACACUGUUGCUGUGAUGUUUUUUGUUUAGGUUUUUAUUUUCUCCUCCUGUUGUCCACAUCACCUGGAUUCCUUGGGUCUCACUCGUCAAGUCCACUUUGCUCAGGAAUGGCGUCAGGAAUCAAUCAGUCAAUCAAUCAUUCUCUCGCUCUCUCGCUGUCUCUCUCUCUCUUUCUCUCUCUCUCUCUCUCUCUCUUAUAUAUCACAGCUUACAGUUUGGGGGUGAUUUUGUGUUUUUAGCCAAGAUAAACAAUUUUUUUUUGUGUGUCUCAAAGGCGUUUGGCUCUGGCUAUUCCUAUUCAAGACCUGUCCAGUUGAAUGACAGUGAUAGACUAGCUGUUGUGGUUAUAACUCUGCCUACGUUGCACAAACAACAGUAGAUUACUUAUAAGAAUCAUCCAUCAUAAAAAAGGUCUCUUUGAAUUUUCUAACCUUUGUCGCACUGUUACAAGGGAUUCCUUGAUCUCUAUCUUUUUUUUCUCUCUUUAUCUCUUUGAAAAAAGAAAAACCCGAAUUAAAUCAACUGAUUUAUGCAAUGAAAUCACAUAAUCAGCCAGAGACUUUGUGGGCCACAAGCCAUCAUUUGGUGUUGAUGAGGAUCUAUAUUUUAACAGAACUUGUAUUUUAAUCCUUAACACACAUACACACAGAAGGCCCAAAUGCAAAUAUAGACAUAUAAAUAUAUAUAUAGAGCCCAAAGAGUCUUAAGAUAUUUUAAUGGCAAGGGUGAUGAUAGAAGGUGAAUCAAAUUUAAUUUAUCGCCUUUUUCUUUUUAUUAAAAACAAAAAAAUGCCCGUUUUCAUUUCUCAUCGGCUUCAGUAAGAUAUCAGGUUGUGUAUAAAUGCACCAAAUUACAGGUGCAUCGAAGGUUUUCACCAUCAAUUUCUGCCUUAGCCAUGAGAAACUAAAGUAAAAGUCUGUGUAUUUCAAACAAGUCUGUAUGUACAGUAUGAUAUUUUUCAUAUGGGGGAAAUUUUACUGUCAGGACAAGAAUUCAGUUAUCACACAGAACUAGUUUCGUCUGGAGGAAAUGUUGUUGCGCCUCCCUUUUCGUCCUGUUUUGUGUUUUCCUUUUUCUUCUUCGUCAGUCUCUGUUAAUCUCUCUCUCGCCUUGUUAGAAUAAUACUGUGCCCUUUGCAUGACUGUUAUAAGCUCUGUAUACAAAGACGACGAUGUUAAGUGCCACACAAGCCGGGCAGAUCUGCCGGGAGAGCGCCCAGGCUCUUUCUGUUCUACCUAUUGUGGUAUAUCACACUUACCAAUCACAUGGUGCUUUUUGUCCUGUUUCUAUGUUUUGCUUCAGCAUUCUCUUCGUCUGUUUUUAUUUCAUUUCCAUUGUUGUUUAAGUCUACAUAUUUUUAUCUCCUCCGUUUUUAGCCAAACUCCAUCUGCAUGCUAGGACGUCUUGUUGUGGUUGCAAAUAGGAGAAUAACCAUAUAAUCUGUAUGUAUACCAAUCACAAAAACCACAAAACAUGUUGUUUCCUGAACCUGAGAAAUGGGAUCCAGGCAUGAUAGUCGAAAUAAUACUCAAACGUGACAGAUCAUGUUUUACAUUUUAUUCUCUGCUUUAAAUUGCACAUUUUCACGCUGAUAAAAGUUGGCAGUGUCAGUACCAGCAGACAACUGCAGUAGAACAACAACAAACAAAAAAAAAGUACAGAACUGCAGCAGAAGUCAAGACUAUAUUUUUCACUUCUUGUUUGUAACUGCUGAUUAAAGACUGUUGAAUUUGAAGAUUUUAUUUCAAGCGAAAGGGAUUAUGAUUGUAUGUGGAAACUUUGGGGGGAAAAACAAAACAAGCCAGAAGCACUGAGGCUUCAUCAACCAACCGUGUCAUUUAAUGUCAGUAAUGUCAUUUCAGUGUGUUUACAAUUGGGCCUCAAAUGUAUUCAGUUAGGUUACAGUACUUCAGCUUCAAAAGAAAAUGAAUGACCUAAUGAAUGAAACAAAGUAGUUUUAUUUACGACACUAAAGCAUCUCAAAGUAGAUUAGAGUCAAAAUCUACCUGAAUGGAUUCUGCAAGAAUCAUGCUCUGCUAGCACUUAAAGUAAGAAAUUAGAGAUUUAAAUAUAAAAUAAGACAAUUUCAGAACUACGGAGCAGCUUUGGCUGAUUUUUCAUUCUUUCCAAUGACGACAACAAUGUAUAUGGUCUGUGAAGUAUUAAGUAUUUGGCGAGCUGUAAACUCAUGAUUUUUAUGUUUCUGUCAGAAGAUGAGUGAAGCUAAACUCAACUUUUGAUUCUUAUUUACAUUUUCAUAAAUGUCAAAAAGCAAGUCUGAGCUGUAGGGCAGAAUUAAAUCACAGUGGACAGAGCCAAAGAACCACAGUUUAACUUUUGUUUUACUUUUGUUCUGGCUAAAUAAUGUGAGACUGAAACUGAGUGGGGGGGGAGUAGAGGCUAAGAGAGGACGCUAAUGCUCUGCUGAAAUGCAUUAAAGCCAUAAUCGGUCAGUCAGUUAAUCUGUUGCACCUCUGACCACACCCAACAGUGAUGUCACAGCGUACUGACACACCCGGGAGUACACUUCUGCAUCACUGCAGCCAGAUUAGAAGUUAAACCUCUGGAGGUCAGCAAAAACAAGAUCUUCAGAUGUUGUUAAUUUGCUCUUUAAAAUCAAUCUGUAAUUAUCUAAGUAAGCUAGCUAGCCUGCUGAGCUGAGAUGACAAAUGCGUGUUCAUGAUUGAUUGAAAAAAAAUCGGUAAUGCUUUAUUUUACAGGUCUGUAAAUUCUUAAUAUUCCUAGGAGGUUUUCUGGAAAGAACAAUGUAAUUUGGUACUAGCUGUAGUUGAAUUAGAGGCAGUGUUCAAUAAAGCUACAACAAACGAUUAUUUUCAUCAUCGUUUAAUCUCAAUUUAUGUUUAUGAUUAAUCUUUUGGUUAAAAAAAAAAAAAGAAAGUUCCCAGAUCUUUCAGAUAACCUUUUUUAUCCCACCACCAGUCAAAAACUGAGAUAUUAAAACAAACUCAUAUUUUGAGAAGCUGUAAUAAGCAAAUGUUUAGUAUUUUACCUUGAUAUACCUUCAAUUAAUAUUGAUUAAUCAGCUAAUCGUUGCAUCCCUAGUGUUAAAUUGGUCCUCUUCCAAUGAAUUUAUUCCACUUAAUUGCUAAAAUAGAGUAUUUUAGGCAGUUGCACGGCAUAUCAGAUGAACAGGCAAAAAUGUGAAAUUUGUCUCCAUGCAAGCAUAAAAUACAGCAUACAUGAAAAAUAAAUGUUCCAAUAAUAAAUUAAUGAGUUUAAAUGGUGCAGUACUUACAAGGAAAUUCCUCUGAAAAUCAACAACUGCUUUUAAACCUAACACAUUUAACUUGAAUAACUGUCUUAAACGUUUCCCAUAUAAUUAGUGCAAAAUUACGCAGUUCUUUCCAAAUAAAAACUUUUAAGAAAAUAUUAGGAAAUAACAGACCUGUAAAAAUACAGUGACGCCAGAAAAAAACGUAUAAAUUUAUAUAUACACCCAAAAAACUAGUUUUGUUGGUUCUAUCGACAGAGAUUUAACUCAUGUGAUGACAUUUGAAAAAAGUUUAUGACCAAACCUCCAUUGCAGAAAUGAUUAUUAUUAUUAUUUUUUUUUUUUUUUGCACUCUCAAAUUUCACCUGAACAGACGUUUAACGUGAGGUAAAGACUCGCCUGUCCCAGUCCUUCUCACGCUCGCUGUACACACCCGUCUGUCACACGAUUAUUAAAUGCACUCUCUUCUACAGUGGUUGGGAUGGGACUUGUAAUCCGAGGUGCCUGUCGGGACUUGACUUACCUGUAGAUAGUCUUUUGGGGGGGUUUAGUUAGAAUAUUAUGGGCACUGGAAACCUUACUGGGAUUAGUUGUAUAAAAAAAAAGCUUCUGCUGAGUUCUUUGUGCAACCUGUCUGUUUGUGCCUUUUUUGAUAGUCUUGAUAUCCAAGAUUUGAUGUGCAGCUUUUGUUUAGUCGGGAAUCCGUUGUAAUCGCAGUAUACGCUCUUAAAAAUGAACACAAUCAAGUCUGUGGGUGGGAGGGAUCACGGGUGGGUAUCCUUAUCUUUCAGUUAUGUAAAUUUUAAAGAGAUUUGUUGCCACAGCUGUGUGAUUUGUGACUGUAUUGAAAAGAUGAAAAACAAACAUUUAUAUCUUUUGCGUUACCCUUUUUCCUUGAGCCUUUUUUUUUUAUGUUUUUGUGCAGAUAUUUUUAUUGUAAAAUGAAUGUUAUGUUUCUAUCAGACACUAAUCUUGUUUGAGUUGUCUCCGGUGGAACUACUUCACUCUGUAUGUUUUGAUCAGUAUAAACCUUUAAUUGUGUAGUUCACAUUUCUGAAAGAGGAAAAAAAAAAAAGAUCCUUUGGUUGUAUUUUAAAGGUUCCUGUUUGACCUGUCAUAGAAAUUGUUUGAAUUGAUCGGUCAGUUUUGCUGUCGUGUGAAGGAUUUGACUUGAACGAAGCAUUUCUUUGCUAUUAUUAAAGACUGACUGCCACUUUGAAAAAUCUGUUUUUUAAUGUUUUUUUUUUUUUGUUUUUCUUUUUUGCAACUCUGCCAUGACAUUUAAAUAGACGUUCAUUAAAAACACUGUACCUUCA
Molecule: RNA transcript, 6067 nt
Organism: Siniperca chuatsi (mandarin fish)
Lineage: Eukaryota; Metazoa; Chordata; Actinopteri; Centrarchiformes; Sinipercidae
Gene: mapk1
Gene name: mitogen-activated protein kinase 1
Exons: 10
Source: RefSeq, a predicted model, not a curated record